GGCGAUGAAUGCAGAGGCUGCGGAUCAAUCGAUCUAUCGAGCUUUCGAUCAUUUGAUCGAUCGAUCAAUCGUAUCGUGUCGAUGAAUUGUGCUCGCGCUGCUGCUGCUGUUCAUGCUGCUGCUGCCUCGACAACAGAUAGAUCUAUCUAUCGAUAAUCGAUCGAUCUAUCGAUGGAUGCACACACACACUCAGACAGACAGCCACAGACAGAGGGAGGGAGGGAGGGAAGUAGGUAGUGCCCCCGCACAUACAGCCAGAUAGACAAAGAGACAGACCCACCUUGUGGCACUCGCGUCACACAUCCCCCCCCCCCCCCGGCAACACCACCACCACCACAUCACAGCACAGCGGCAAUCUCUCUCUCUCUCGUUAUUGUAGUAGUUGUAGUAGUUGGGUCUCUCUCCCUUCCCUUCAUCCACCAACAGUAGUAGUAGUCGUAGUAGUUGUGGAAGUAGUAGUGGUAAUCAGUCAGUCACUGUGCUUACUCUCCCUCCCUCUGUCUCUCUAUUCUGGACUCCGCCACCGGGAAUACCCUUCCUUCCUUUGUCCAUCGCUGAUGGCAGGCACACUAAGUUAUUCCCCUCCCCUCCCCUCCCCUCUCCCUCCCUCGCUGCCCAUUCAAUCCCGCCUGCUCGCCCGCUUUUCCUGCCGUCAGUCGUCCCUUUUCGGCAUUGCCACCCUGGUUCUGUUUCCCUCAGAUCUAGAUGUGAUCCCCCUGCUGGAUGUGAUGUCAUCGUCGUCGUUACAGUAGUUGGUGGGUGAAUUUUGGAGCCGGGUGUGUUUGAUGGGUUGGAGAGGAGAAGAGAAGAGUGAAGAGAAGCAAGGAUUGGUUUGGAGAGUGAGCCGUGAGUUUGUUGCGUUGGGGCGUGACUGUUUUGGUAGGAUUUUGUGGAUUUUGGAAUGUGAUGGGGAGGGGGGCAGAGGAGGUAGUGAAUGCGAGGUUGAGGGGUAAAGAGAAGGUUGCUGAAUCAGACAACGAGGGGGAGGCAGAUGGGGAUCAGUGGUGGUAGGAUAAAACGCGGCAACAGUUGUGGAAUCGUUCAAAGCGUGCAGUUGUUGCAGCUGUAUCAGCAGCAGCAGCGCAGAAAAGGCUUCCCAUGUCAUCCGAUAAUGAGAAAGGGUUGGCCCUGGCCGUUAGCUCUAGUCUCUUCAUUGGUGCUAGCUUCAUCAUCAAGAAAAAGGGCUUGAAGCGAGCCGGGGCGUCGGGAGUGAGGGCAGGAGUGGGGGGUUACUCGUAUCUAUAUGAACCGCUAUGGUGGUCCGGCAUGAUCACAAUGAUUGUGGGAGAAGUGGCCAACUUCACUGCCUACGCGUUUGCUCCGGCUGUCUUGGUCACUCCGCUUGGCGCACUGAGCAUAAUAGUCAGUGCGGUUCUAGCUCACAUGGUUCUCAAGGAGCGAUUGCAUUUGCUGGGGAUAGUAGGUUGUGUUCUAUGCAUAGUUGGCUCCACCACAAUUGUACUACACGCGCCUCAAGAGCGUGCCAUAGAGUCAGUCAAGGACGUCUGGGUCCUCGCCACUGAACCUGCCUUUUUAAUGUAUGCGCUUUUCGUGGUUGCACUGGUGCUGAUACUGAUCUUUCACUAUGUCCCGCAAUUUGGGAAUUCUCAUGUCCUGGUCUACAUCACCAUUUGCUCGUUAAUGGGCUCUUUAUCUGUUAUGAGUGUGAAAGCACUGGGCAUCGCCGUUAAGCUGACUUUGCAAGGGCAGAAUCAAUUGAUCUAUCCUCAGACGUCGGUGUUUGCGAUGGUAGUCCUUAUUUGCAUACUGACACAAAUGAAUUACCUCAAUAAGGCCCUGGACACAUUUAACACGGCAAUUGUUUCUCCUAUAUAUUACGUCAUGUUCACAUCAUUGACCAUCCUGGCGAGUGCUAUCAUGUUCAAGGACUGGGACCAGCAGACCGCACCUCAAAUCAUAACUGAAUUGUGUGGUUUUAUCACCAUUCUGUCUGGCACGUUUUUACUGCAUGCAACAAAGGACAUGGGUGACGCACCAGCUGGAUUAAGUUCGUUCAUCCAACCUGGGAAAUACACUCAUACAUGAACCCGCAUUACGGGAUUAGGUUCACAUUGGAGUCCAGCAUCAAGUAUUUCACAUCGCAUAACGAUGAAUGGUGCAAAUUCUAAACAGCGUCCAGAAGACGAGUCAAGUGAAGAGAUUCCUUUACGACGACAAGAUUCAUUUCGAAUUCCGUAACUAAUAAAUCCUUUGGAGAGUUUCUUUUUCUUUAUUAAAAAAAAAAUACAUAGAAAAUCCAACUUAGUCUCGAUUUUUCACAUGAAGAACUUAGUGAAACUGAAUGAGAUAGCUUGGAAAGUGCCCAUUGCUGUUCCAGUAGAAAAAAGAUAAUUGCUCUGCUUACAUUCAAGUUCAUAACAGGACAACACCAGCAUAUCCUUCUGCUGCCACCGUGGAGCCUUCAUUGAUGAACAUGAUCUCAAAAUGUCCUUUGAUUAAUGUAGAGAAUAUUAAUGUGUAGAGCAACGUGUGCUGGCCCAACUUCCACUAAAUGAAGUAGCUUGGUUUUUUUCAAAAUAAUGGCCUAAAUUUCCAGCAUUUUCGUGCAUUUUUCAUAAAAUAAAUUCGUGGAGUUUUUCAGCGUCAUGAAGGUGGAUUGUUUUUCCAUAUCAAUAAUAAAUAUAAUUCAAGUA
Non-coding RNA from Physcomitrium patens, 2654 nucleotides. The record is from RefSeq and is a predicted model, not a curated record. NCBI's taxonomy places the organism in Eukaryota, Viridiplantae, Streptophyta, Bryopsida, Funariales, Funariaceae.